UGUUCCCUGGGUUGUUUGCCAGUCGAUAUGUCCUCGACCCUUUAAGCGACACCCAGGAGGCCCUUUAUUUUGGUUGAUGUGCACGCCCGAUUCGUCGGGAAGCCUAAUGCCUGAUAGGGACCACCGCCUUGAACCGCAGGGUUCAAGGGCUUAUCAAACAGCGGCAAUUUGGGGGACUU
Molecule: non-coding RNA, 179 nt
Filed under: Pseudomonadales bacterium
Lineage: Bacteria; Pseudomonadati; Pseudomonadota; Gammaproteobacteria; Pseudomonadales
Description: 6S RNA
Rfam family: 6S / SsrS RNA
About the family: E. coli 6S RNA was the first non coding RNA to be sequenced, but its function was unknown until recently. It consists of 184 nucleotides that fold into an extended hairpin structure with a large single-stranded internal bulge.
Source: RNAcentral